UCCGAGUUGACCCCGGCAGUCUCCUAUGAGUCCCCGGCAUUAUCCGCUGGCAACAUAGGACGAGGGUUGCGCUCGUUGCGGGACUUAACCCAACAUCUCACGACACGAGCUGACGACAGCCAUGCAGCACCUGUGUAGGCUUCCCUUGCGGGUUCGUCAGACUUUCAUCCUUCUACUACCUACAUGUCAAGGCCAGGUAAGGUUCUUCGCGUUGCAUCGAAUUGAGCCACAUACUCCACCGCUUGUGCAGGCCCCCGUCAAUUUCUUUGAGUUUUAAUCUUGCGACCGUACUUCCCAGGCGGCACAUUUAACGCGUUGGCUACGCCACAAAAGGGGUCGAAUCCUUUUACAGCAAAUGUGCACCGUUUACGGCUAGGACUAC
RNAcentral lists this unclassified non-coding RNA (382 nucleotides) under uncultured Verrucomicrobiae bacterium. Its description in RNAcentral is "contains 16S-23S intergenic spacer region". Lineage: Bacteria; Pseudomonadati; Verrucomicrobiota; Verrucomicrobiia. The record is from RNAcentral.